CCUUAUACCUAUCGGACUCUUCCAUAAAGUGUACUUGGAGCCUGGCUCAGUGCAUCUCCAGUUCUAAGGUACCUAAGACUCACCGAGGAGUCUUGCUGCAAAGGCAGGUUCUGAUUCAGCAGGUGUGCAGUGAGGAGCCGAGAUUCCAGAUUGCUAAUGAGGCCCCAGGUGUGGCCCAUGAACCACACUUUACAUAGUGGCCCAGGCACAGUUCCUCAGGCUGCUCGCAGGGUGCCUGCUUGGAGAUGCGGUUGGUCAUAGCUUUUCGUCCAAGGAGGUCUCCGCAGAGGUGUCCUGUACUCUGUUUGGUGCCAUGGUGGGCCCAGUCUACGUUUUUGUGACCACCAAUGAAGAGGCCUGGGCUUGAAAAAUUUUCUUCUGGAAGCUGCCUGCCUUCCUUGGCUCAUGACCCUGCCUCCACAGUGCAUCUCUGCAGUCUUUGGUUCCAUUGUCACCUCAGCUUUCCCUUCCUUGAUCAUACCUCCUCCCUCUUCUAAGGACCCUUAUUCCGUUUGGUCUACCUGGAUAACCCAGGACAACCUCCCCAUCUCAAGGCUCAUCCUCUUAAUCCCACCUGUAGAGUCCGUUUCCCCGGGGAAGGUGACUUGGGUCACAGGUUCUGGGGUUGCGAUGGAUGGGAUGUGUUGCUCUACCUGCCACAGACAUAUAUGUAACCCGUGGCAACAACACUCGCCAUCUGCUCUUUGGAGGCUUGUCCUAACACUAAACACCAGGUUCUUCACUUGCCUUCUCUCUUUGUCCCUAAAGAAAUUCAUGUUUUCUUGGCUAA
Molecule: long non-coding RNA, 790 nt
Organism: Bubalus bubalis (water buffalo)
Lineage: Eukaryota; Metazoa; Chordata; Mammalia; Artiodactyla; Bovidae
Exons: 3
Source: RefSeq, a predicted model, not a curated record